This 104-nucleotide transfer RNA is filed under the name Escherichia coli. Its description in RNAcentral is "tRNA-Val". It matches the Rfam family "tRNA". Rfam says of the family: Transfer RNA (tRNA) molecules are approximately 80 nucleotides in length. The record is from RNAcentral. Lineage: Bacteria; Pseudomonadati; Pseudomonadota; Gammaproteobacteria; Enterobacterales; Enterobacteriaceae.
GGGUGAUUAGCUCAGCUGGGAGAGCACCUCCCUUACAAGGAGGGGGUCGGAGCACGACCUUGCCAAGGUCGGGGUCGCGAGUUCGAGUCUCGUUUCCCGCUCCA